Molecule: ribosomal RNA, 372 nt
Filed under: uncultured organism
Description: partial 16S ribosomal RNA
Rfam family: Bacterial small subunit ribosomal RNA
Source: RNAcentral
GUAGGUGGCGAGCGUUGUCCGGAUUUACUGGGCGUAAAGCGCGCGCAGGCGGGCUGAUCAGCCCGGGGUGAAAUCUCACGGCUCAACUGUGAGGCGUCCCCGGAUACUUCCAGCCUUGAGGUACCUAGAGGAGAGUGGAAUUCCCGGUGUAGUGGUGGAAUGCGUAGAUAUCGGGAGGAACACCAGUGGCGAAAGCGGCUCUCUGGGGGUUACCUGACGCUGAGGCGCGAAAGCGUGGGGAGCGAACCGGAUUAGAUACCCGGGUAGUCCACGCCGUAAACGAUGAGCACUAGCUGUCGGGGGUAUCGACCCCCCUCGGUAGCGUAGCUAACGCGUUAAGUGCUCCGCCUGGGGACUACGGCCGCAAGGCUA